Molecule: ribosomal RNA, 254 nt
Filed under: uncultured bacterium
Lineage: Bacteria
Description: partial 16S ribosomal RNA
Rfam family: Bacterial small subunit ribosomal RNA
Source: RNAcentral
GACGGAGGAUGCAAGUGUUAUCCGGAAUCACUGGGCGUAAAGCGUCUGUAGGUGGUUCGAAAAGUCCACUGUUAAAAAUUGAGGCUUAACUUCAAAGAUGCCGUGGAAACUUUCAAACUAGAGUAUGGUAGGGGUAGAGGGAAUUUCCAGUGGAGCGGUGAAAUGCGUAGAUAUUGGAAAGACCACCGAUGGCGAAGGCACUCUGACUGGGCCAUUACUGACACUGAGAGACGAAAGCUAGGGGAGCAAAUGGG